AUGACGCUCCUUAGCUGGAACUGUCGGGGGAUUGGGCAACCCCGUACAGUUCGAGAGCUAGUGGGCCUAGUGCACACUCACAAGCCUAAGUUGGUAUUUCUGUCGGAAACAAGGAAAAGCGAUGAGUACGUGAAUAACUUGAGAUGGAGGCUAGGCCUCAGGCAUUGUAUUGUGCGUUCUGGUACUGGUAAGGGGGGCGGGAUUGCACUAUUUUAUGAUGAAAAU
RNAcentral lists this ribosomal RNA (225 nucleotides) under Triticum aestivum (bread wheat). RNAcentral describes it as "partial small subunit ribosomal RNA". Lineage: Eukaryota; Viridiplantae; Streptophyta; Magnoliopsida; Poales; Poaceae. The record is from RNAcentral.